RNAcentral lists this unclassified non-coding RNA (319 nucleotides) under Hevea brasiliensis (rubber tree). The record is from RNAcentral. Lineage: Eukaryota; Viridiplantae; Streptophyta; Magnoliopsida; Malpighiales; Euphorbiaceae.
ACCAACAAAAGAAUCAGCCUAAGAACUGAAAUUGCAAUCGGUAUUUAUUAACAUGAAUUUGUCAUUUUUGAAACUCUCAUCCACAUGCAGGCAGUUGACACUUUAUAGUGUAUUUAUUAGAUAAGUCAUACUAUGAAAAUGUCUUCCCGGACUCUAGUAUACGCCAAAAAAAGAUCCUAGUUUUAUUUUCUACCACCAGCCAAAGCAAAGUCUCCUUAAAGCACUGCCCAUAAGACAAAUAAAAAAAGAUGCUCUGAAUUCCAUCAACACAAUUAUUUCACCAACAAAAGAAUCAGCCUGAGAACUGAAAUUGCAAUCA